This 343-nucleotide long non-coding RNA is filed under the name Elaeis guineensis (African oil palm). RNAcentral describes it as "long non-coding RNA (EGUI_LNC015367)". The record is from RNAcentral. Lineage: Eukaryota; Viridiplantae; Streptophyta; Magnoliopsida; Arecales; Arecaceae.
ACACCGACGGCGAUGGGGUUAUUAGCUUCACGGAGUUUGCCGCCGUUAUGGCCAAGUCCGCCGCCGACUUCCUUGGAUUCGCCGUUUCCUAGAUUCGCUGGAAGGACUUCAUUGACUUGGUGACCAGCUCAGCCGGUGUCCCACCUGGGUUUAAUAUGAUAGGGUGUUUGGGAGAUGGUUGUAACUUAUAGAUUCGCCAGAAGUAGUUCAUGGAUUUGGUGACCAGGUCAGCCGGUGUCCCACCUGGUUUUAAUAUGAUAGGGUGUUUAUGGUUAUUGUUAGGUUUGUAAUAAAAUGUACAUAAGGGAUGAUGGGAUUGGAAGAUGGCUGUAACUUGUAAGGC